CCCCCCCUCCUUUUUCAGUGUUGGAACCCACACAUUUUCAAUCAAUUUAGGUUUUAGCACUGCGGCUGGAUCUGUUCAUGUGUGUAACACAGAUGGCUGCAACAAUGGAAUCAUACCUUAUCCUGGUGUUCAGAAGAAAAACAACCUGCAGUGUUUCUUCUGUAAUGAUGAAUCUUCUGCUCUGUGUAAGAAGAAAUUAUAGUGUGAGGGAAUGGAGAACCGCUGUUUUAAUGGAAGUGUGGAAGACAACAUGGGUGCAACAGUUAAUAUGUUUGGAUGUGUCUCUUCAAACUUCUGUCCAAUUCUUUCUAGUUCUAAACUCCUGCCUCUCCCUGGCAACUUCAUUAGUCCACCAAAAUGUUGUGAAGGCAGCUUCUGUAACUCAUCCUGGUCCGUCAAACUGAGUGUGAUGACUUUGCUGUUUGGACUCAUCACCCUUAUCUUCUAUUAGAACAA
Scomber japonicus (chub mackerel) is the source of this 456-nucleotide long non-coding RNA. RefSeq lists it as uncharacterized. Lineage: Eukaryota; Metazoa; Chordata; Actinopteri; Scombriformes; Scombridae. The record is from RefSeq and is a predicted model, not a curated record. The transcript has 3 exons.